RNAcentral lists this unclassified non-coding RNA (139 nucleotides) under uncultured Venturiaceae. RNAcentral describes it as "sequence contains ITS2". The record is from RNAcentral. RNAcentral also lists the same sequence under 2 other names. Lineage: Eukaryota; Fungi; Ascomycota; Dothideomycetes; Venturiales; Venturiaceae.
CAACCCUCAAGCCCCGCUUGGUGAUGGGCCCCGCCUGCGGGCGGGCCCGAAACUCGUGGGCGUCGUCGUUCGGCUCCAAGCGUAGCAAAACCCUCGCUUGGGCGCCCGGACGGAGGCCGCCCGGAACGAAUUUUUACAA